Molecule: ribosomal RNA, 694 nt
Filed under: uncultured Glomus
Lineage: Eukaryota; Fungi; Glomeromycota; Glomeromycetes; Glomerales; Glomeraceae
Description: partial 18S ribosomal RNA
Source: RNAcentral
CGUAAGGCGCCGAAUGAGUCAUUAAAAAAUUAACAUCAUCCGAUCCCUAGUCGGCAUAGUUUAUGGUUAAGACUACGACGGUAUCUGAUCGUCUUCGAUCCCCUAACUUUCGUUCUUGAUUAAUGAAAACAUCCUUGGCAAAUGCUUUCGCAGUAGUUAGUCUUCAAUAAAUCCAAGAAUUUCACCUCUGACAAUUGAAUACUAAUGCCCCCAACUAUCCCUAUUAAUCAUUACAUCGAUCCUAGAAACCAACAAAAUAGAAUCGGAUGUCCUAUUUCAUUAUUCCAUGCUAAUGUAUUCAAGCGUGAGCCUGCUUUAAACACUCUAAUUUUUUCAAGGUAACAGUCCUAAUUCCCCGUAACACCAAAUUAAUGGCAUUACGGUUCUUUAGAAGGUGAGAAAUCAAUGAUAACAGUGCAUACCAACGGCAUGACCGAAAUAUUGAUCCCGAAAUUCAACUACGAGCUUUUUAACUGCAACAACUUUAAUAUACGCUAUUGGAGCUGGAAUUACCGCGGCUGCUGGCACCAGACUUGCCCUCCAAUUGUUCCUCGUUAAGAGAUUUAAAUUGUACUCAUUCCAAUUACAAGAUCCAAAAGAACCCUGUAUUGUUAUUUAUUGUCACUACCUCCCCGUGUCGGGAUUGGGUAAUUUGCGCGCCUGCUGCCUUCCUUGGAUGUGGUAGCCGUUUCUC